Molecule: ribosomal RNA, 490 nt
Filed under: uncultured bacterium
Lineage: Bacteria
Description: partial 16S ribosomal RNA
Rfam family: Bacterial small subunit ribosomal RNA
Source: RNAcentral
AGUGGACGCUGGCGGUAGGCCUAACACAUGCAAGUCGAACGGCAGCACAGUAAGAGCUUGCUCUUACGGGUGGCGAGUGGCGGACGGGUGAGGAAUACAUCGGAAUCUACUUUUUCGUGGGGGAUAACGUAGGGAAACUUACGCUAAUACCGCAUACGACCUACGGGUGAAAGCAGGGGAUCUUCGGACCUUGCGCGAUUGAAUGAGCCGAUGUCGGAUUAGCUAGUUGGCGGGGUAAAGGCCCACCAAGGCGACGAUCCGUAGCUGGUCUGAGAGGAUGAUCAGCCACACUGGAACUGAGACACGGUCCAGACUCCUACGGGAGGCAGCAGUGGGGAAUAUUGGACAAUGGGCGCAAGCCUGAUCCAGCCAUACCGCGUGGGUGAAGAAGGCCUUCGGGUUGUAAAGCCCUUUUGUUGGGAAAGAAAAGCAGCAGGUUAAUACCCCGCUGUUCUGACGGUACCCAAAGAAUAAGCACCGGCUAACUUCG